RNAcentral lists this ribosomal RNA (523 nucleotides) under uncultured bacterium. Its description in RNAcentral is "partial 16S ribosomal RNA". It matches the Rfam family "Bacterial small subunit ribosomal RNA", at positions 28 to 523 of the family's 1533-position model. The record is from RNAcentral.
GACGAACGCUGGCGGCGUGCCUAAUACAUGCAAGUCGAACGCUUCUUUUUCCACCGGAGCUUGCUCCACCGGAAAAAGAGGAGUGGCGAACGGGUGAGUAACACGUGGGUAACCUGCCCAUCAGAAGGGGAUAACACUUGGAAACAGGUGCUAAUACCGUAUAACAAUCGAAACCGCAUGGGUUUGAUUUGAGAGGCGCUUUCGGUUGUCGCUGAUGGAUGGACCCGCGGUGCAUUAGCUAGUUGGUGAGGUAACGGCUCACCAAGGCCACGAUGCAUAGCCGACCUGAGAGGGUAAUCGGCCACAUGGGGACUGAGACACGGCCCAAACUCCUACGGGAGGCAGCAGUAGGGAAUCUUCGGCAAUGGACAAAGUCUGACCGAGCAACGCCGCGUGAGUGAAGAAGGUUUUCGGAUCGUAAAACUCUGUUGUUAGAGAAGAACAAGGAUGAGAGUAACUGUUCAUCCCUUGACGGUAUCUAACCAGAAAGCCACGGCUAACUACGUGCCAGCCGCCGCAGUAA